RNAcentral lists this long non-coding RNA (976 nucleotides) under Marmota monax (woodchuck). The record is from RNAcentral. Lineage: Eukaryota; Metazoa; Chordata; Mammalia; Rodentia; Sciuridae.
GGAAACUGUCAUACCUACUUGGCUAAUUGCUCCCAGCAAUCUUCCAAUUAAGAGAUAACCGGCCAGCAAUACUGAAAUCAUGUUCUAAUGUGUGCACGUAUUAGUAUUUCAGCUGGUCUGGAUAUCCACUUUUAGACAACAUUUCUUACCAUUUCUUUCCAUUUCCAUGGCCAAAAACUUAGAAGCAGUAGUUUCUAUAGGGAUAAUGUUCUGGUCAAAAUCAGUAUACUAGUCAUUUUGAGGCCAAGGCCCUGCUUCUAGAUUUGUACUUUAAAGCUAUAUGAAUUUGAGCCAGUUUUUUUUAACCUUUGCAGGCUUUGGUUUCUUUACCUGGAAAAGUAUGGAAUUAGAAUGGGCAAGUUAAGUGAUUCUAUAGGAACGCUAAGUGUUCCUUACCAACUUCAGCUUUGUCAGAACCAGAAUUGCUGGUAUCUCUUUUUCUCAGAAAAAAAGUCUCAAUCACCAAAAUCAUCCCACCUUCAAGCAUACUAACAGUUAGACUAAACUAAGCAUGCAAACUUUCAGUGCCCACUGCUCAAUGAACAUUUAUUUAAUCAUGUAUGUGGCAGGCCUCCUGCCCUCUGAAGUUUAUGGAAGGGAGUUUGUUGCUAGUUAGUGGUGGGAUGGUGUGGGUAAAAGAACCAAGACCUUUAUGAAUAGAAGGGAUUUGAUUAUUUAUAAAUAUUAUAUAUAUAAAUUGCAUAUUUGUAAAUAUUAUAUAAAGAUAAGGAGAGAAAGGAAAGGAAGUUAAGAAUGAGACCACAUUGCCCCUCAUGAAUUAACACUUGGUUACCUAGAUUAAAAUCACUGGUUGCUUCUUUAUCAUUCCUAUCUGCUGGUUUCUUGAGCUUUUACUAUAGCUUAUCACUGGUCAUUACUGAGGGAAGUAUAAGUUAUAUAUGUAGAAUCCAUUGAGUUACUAUUUCCUAAUAAGGACUUUGGCAGAAAAAGACUUUUUAAGGUAAGCUGCUGAGGA